AUGCGCGCUCCGGGGUCGGUGAAACUCCGAGCCGGCGGUGACAGUCCGCGACCCGUCCGCAGCCAGCGGGCGGCUGACCCGGUGAAAUUCCGGGACCGACGGUGAAAGUCCGGAUGGGAGGACGCGCGC
This 129-nucleotide non-coding RNA is filed under the name Frankia sp. RNAcentral describes it as "FMN sequence". It matches the Rfam family "FMN riboswitch aptamer (RFN element)". From Rfam's summary of the family: The RFN element is a highly conserved domain that is found frequently in the 5'-untranslated regions of prokaryotic mRNAs that encode for flavin mononucleotide (FMN) biosynthesis and transport proteins. This element is a metabolite-dependent riboswitch that directly binds FMN in the absence of proteins. The record is from RNAcentral. RNAcentral also lists the same sequence under 1 other name. Lineage: Bacteria; Bacillati; Actinomycetota; Actinomycetes; Frankiales; Frankiaceae.